RNAcentral lists this ribosomal RNA (478 nucleotides) under uncultured ammonia-oxidizing bacterium. RNAcentral's name for it is "bacterial SSU rRNA". It matches the Rfam family "Bacterial small subunit ribosomal RNA", at positions 162 to 635 of the family's 1533-position model. The record is from RNAcentral.
GCUAAUACCGCAUAUUCUCUGAGGAGGAAAGUAGGGGAUCGAAAGACCUUAUGCUUUUGGAGCGGCCGAUGUCUGAUUAGCUAGUUGGUAGGGUAAUGGCUUACCAAGGCGACGAUCAGUAGUUGGUCUGAGAGGACGACCAGCCACACUGGGACUGAGACACGGCCCAGACUCCUACGGGAGGCAGCAGUGGGGAAUUUUGGACAAUGGGCGCAAGCCUGAUCCAGCAAUGCCGCGUGAGUGAAGAAGGCCUUCGGGUUGUAAAGCUCUUUCAGUUGAGAAGAAAAAGUCGUGACUAAUAAUCAUAAUUCAUGACGGUAUCAACAGAAGAAGCACCGGCUAACUACGUGCCAGCAGCCGCGGUAAUACGUAGGGUGCAAGCGUUAAUCGGAAUUACUGGGCGUAAAGGGUGCGCAGGCGGUUCUGUAAGUCAGAUGUGAAAUCCCCGGGCUUAACCUGGGAACUGCGUUUGAAACUA